UAAUAAGUGUUUUAUGGCACUUUUUAAAUCCAUAUCCACCUUGUGUGCAAUGUCAGUCGAUCUUCUUCACGGAGAUCGAUCAAACAUCAACCUUUAUCUUUUAACUCUUUGUCUGAAAAAUAUUAUGAAUAAACAAUUCAAAAUA
RNAcentral lists this unclassified non-coding RNA (145 nucleotides) under soil metagenome. RNAcentral's name for it is "partial internal transcribed spacer 1". The record is from RNAcentral.